This 468-nucleotide ribosomal RNA is filed under the name uncultured bacterium. RNAcentral's name for it is "partial 16S ribosomal RNA". It matches the Rfam family "Bacterial small subunit ribosomal RNA", at positions 28 to 507 of the family's 1533-position model. The record is from RNAcentral.
GACGAACGCUGGCGGCGUGCUUAACACAUGCAAGUCGAACGGAAAGGCCCUGCUUUUGUGGGGUGCUCGAGUGGCGAACGGGUGAGUAACACGUGAGUAACCUGCCCUUGACUUUGGGAUAACUUCAGGAAACUGGGGCUAAUACCGGAUAGGAGCUCCUGCUGCAUGGUGGGGGUUGGAAAGUUUCGGCGGUUGGGGAUGGACUCGCGGCUUAUCAGCUUGUUGGUGGGGUAGUGGCUUACCAAGGCUUUGACGGGUAGCCGGCCUGAGAGGGUGACCGGCCACAUUGGGACUGAGGUACGGCCCAGCCUCCUACGGGAGGCAGCAGUGGGGAAUAUUGCACAAUGGGCGGAAGCCUGAUGCAGCCACGCCGCGUGCGGGAUGACGGCCUUCGGGUUGUAAACCGCUUUCGCCUGUGACGAAGCGUGAGUGACGGUAAUGGGUAAAGAAGCACCGGCUAACUACGUG